This is a small nuclear RNA of Manacus vitellinus (golden-collared manakin), 107 nucleotides long. The record is from Ensembl. Lineage: Eukaryota; Metazoa; Chordata; Aves; Passeriformes; Pipridae.
GUGCUCACUUUGGCUGCACAUAUACUAAAAUUGGAACAAUACAGAGAAGAUUAGUAUCUCUCCCGUGGUAGGAUGACAUGCAAAUUAACUCAGUCUACUAUCUAAUG